This is a long non-coding RNA of Triticum aestivum (bread wheat), 3622 nucleotides long. RefSeq lists it as uncharacterized. The record is from RefSeq and is a predicted model, not a curated record. The transcript has 5 exons. NCBI's taxonomy places the organism in Eukaryota, Viridiplantae, Streptophyta, Magnoliopsida, Poales, Poaceae.
UGACUACAAUAGAGACUCCCCAACUCGCUUCCUACCGCCGGAGGCAGCCGUUGCGGGCGAGCAAGCGACGGCGGCAGCCGGAGCGAGGGAGCCCGCGGCGCCGUGACGGGUCGCUCCUUCGACCUACGCGCCGCCGCCGGCCGACCGUCUGCACGCCUCCCCGCCGACGGGCUCGCCUCCUCUUGUCCCGGACCCCUUGUCCCGGACGAUUCCCGCAACCCGAUCCCACGACCCCGAGCGCGCCGCCGCGUGCCGCCGUCCCCAGCCCACCCGCAGCGCGCCGCCCACGCAGGCGCGCGUCGCUAUUCCCAUCCCUAUCUCCGCGCAACACCACCCCCAGCCAGACCCGACCCAAUCACGUCGCCAUGGUGCGGUGUCUCCAUCUCCCGACGACGGAGCAGCACCUCCCCGACGGCGCGCCUACCACCGCCGACGAGGAACUCUGCCCCAAGCCUCGUCCCCUCUCCUCACGUCCGGAUGGGCAAGAUCCAGCCGGCGUUGAAGCCUAUCCCACCGGCGCAGCUCCCCAUCGCCAUUGCGCUGCUCCUUCCCCGCGUGUCUCCAGUUCCCCUUGCUGCUCGGAUUGGUGUGCCGCGGUGCCGCCACUCAGGUGUUUGCAGUAAUGCUUGAGCACAGCACCAGCAGUCGUCGCGGUCACUUCAUCCCUGAACUGCCACGCGCCGCCUGCGGCCUCGCUUCUUCCCCUGUCUUCUGCCUGGGCGAACCCCUUUUUCUCCUCCCAGGCACAGCUGCAACGUCCUUCUCAGUCCAAAUUGAGCAUUGGUUGUCGUACAAGUUGGAUCCCGGCUACAGUCUUCGCCAAAGAAGCCAUCAUCCCUGUUCUGAACUACCAACAGCCUCUGCUAAUGUGCGCAAAAUUCAAGUUCAAUAAAACAAAAAAUGGAAGGUCAGAUAUGGCACCAAGAUAAGUUAGAAAAAAUGGUUUCAACAUAAUGCAAUUUGGGGGAAUGACAGCGCCCAGGCAAUUCACAGCCGCCACCCUAGUCUGUUCACCACCGCCAACCGAGGCCGUUCAACGACGCGCCGGGCAAAGAAUAUCAAGUAAAUAAGCAACUUCGACAUGCCAAUGGGACCUUUUUAUUAAGUGCUUUGACUACGACUGAUGGAAGUUGGUAUUCUGUGACAUUGCGCUCAGCGGCAGGAGGGCGAGGAUCUCUUCAUCUCGGCAGUACAACUGCACCCUCCGGCGUCGUUCACGAGAAGAGCUACGUGCAGGCCACCCGUGCUCCACCCUGGAUUUCUUCAAUAAUCAGGCCGUCGUCGUCAGGGUUCCUGCCCCACGGCAGUCGUACUGGCUCAUGCGCCACUGUCGUCGGUCCUUUUUCGGUUGGAGAUAGGUAGCGCCCCCAGGGAGCCCCUUCUUCAAUGGUUCAUUGGUCUGUCAAGUAUGAAGGUGAGCUUCAUAAUAGAGUAGCUAGACCUAUCCGCCUUCCAUUUUACAAAUUUUGCUGGGAGCUAGAAGUAACUAUAUGUAGAAAGUUGGCAUCUCUGUUUACAUAAACAUGCAUAACACGUGUGAUGCUACAUAAUUCCUGGGUCCUCCUCCUGUUAUGCACAAGCUCCAAUUCGUCGAGAUACUCUAUGGAGGUACUCCAUUUUAUGUUUUCAAUUCAUCUUACAAAAAAGCAGAACAAACUAUGUGUCAUUUUUGUCAUUCACGCAAGUUCAGGCAUACCUUCUACAAAAGUUCAAAAAUCUGAAGAAACAAAGCUCAAACCAAGUUCAGAAAAUGUUUCUGGAUUAAAUUAGUUGUUUUGGUUAAUUCUGUAGUACAUGUGUGUAUUGUGAUUGUAAUUGUGGCUUGGAGUUGAGAAAAAAAAUAACAAAAAGGUACAUAAAUGAACCCAAAAACAUUCGGUAGUUUCUGGAAGCCCAAAGUUCAGUUCAACAUGUUUUCUAUCAUCAGCUCGUUAAGAACCCCAGAAACGGUUCAAUGUGUGUGUUAAAAAAAUAGCUGGCUAUAUAAAAAAAUUAGUAGCUAGGCAAAAAGAAGUUUGUAUCAGUUCAGACUUGCCUGCACAGAAGGAUAGAGGCCCUUGUCCCAUACGUUCAGGUUUGCAUCGAUGCUCCAGCCAACUCCAUUAUCUACUCAGUAAAUGCUCCACUGCUAAAUCCAUUUGACGUUUUGUCAGGUUUGGUAACUCCUCUCCCUUUCCCUUUUCAUGUAAUGCAUUUAGGACAAGUUCAAGUAUAGGUAAAGAAUAUUCUCACCACAUGAAUAUUGAUCUAGAGCUCUUCAGUUUGACAGUUUUUCAGUUCGUGUGGAGCUUGUCAGUUCGACAAUUUUUCAUUUUGUGUGGAGCUAGUCAUUGUUUUAGGUUGCGUCUGGCUGUACCAAAUGCUUGCACUUCUCUGAACUGAGAGUACGCUUGAGUUUCCUAUUCCUUCUAAUCUUAAUAGGUUAUCUUGAUAGGAGUCUAGUGUUAGUUACUAAAUUCUAGUCAGAGUAGUGUAAUCAAGGGAAUGUGGAUAACUUGUGUCCAGGUAUCACUUGCACAAUUGCGUUGUUGUGCUGCACACUUGUACUCACAUAUUAUUAUGCUGCGAUACUAGUUCUAAACAAUUUGUUAUGUAUGUCACAUGCAGGUUUCUCCCCAUUCUUCUCGUCUUCAUACUAUGCCUUUCAUACCUUUAUAUAUAAAAAAGCUCAGUCUGAAACUACGGAUUUGCCCAGAGCCUUGACCUAGGACAUUCUGAAUAAAACUUCAAAGAAGUCUGAAAUGCACUGUAGUAUAUAAAGCCUUGUUCAUCAUUCAUUCUGAUACUAGAAUCUAGAGUAAUAAAUCAAGUUUGUAAUAUGUAGGCGCAAGAACAUGACUCCCUACUUGAAAUGAGUACUCUUUUGUUUCAGCUAAUACUUCUUACUCUGAAUUCCAAAAGUGGAUACACUUAAGUACAGCUUAGUAGACUACUAGUAGUACAUCAGUAUGUAAGGCGAUGUAAUUACCAGAACCUCAAUGAUUAUAGUAUUUGGGAUGCUCAUCAUUUUUCACAUCCAUCUCUACUAAAUUAUGUUAGUCUUUUUCAGUUCAUCUUUGAAAUUUCGAUCCAUUUUCUUUUUGCAGGAUGCGUCAAAUACUGAAAUAAAAGGCAGCAGCUCAAAUAGAUGAAUAUUGGAAGUCCAUUGCUAUCUUGAGGCCCACAUAGCCGGCAUUUUCAGUUCAUCUUGCAAGUGAUGGGGCUCCCCUUCAGUUCAUCCGGCAGGUGUUUUGGGCAGUACAAAAUACAUCACCAUAGUUAGUACAUCAAGGAUGGCUUGGUAGUCGCUGGGAUUCCCUGCAGUGGCCAAAUUGCCUCCAUCAGCUCCACCUCGCCGUAGCAAUCAGUCCAUAGGAGGAGGUGUAGCUGGUCCACCCGGUCCACCCAAUUUUUCUUUCAACAUUUUCUUUGUGAUGCAUGCUCACUGAUGGAUCAAUAACUAUUUAUUGAUAUGGAGAUGCGCCCUUGUUUUUUUUUCCUGGAAAAACAAGAUGCCUUUGCAUACUUCAAAGUUGCUGCUUGCUCCCACCAGUCAAUUGUGCAAGUUCAGUGGGUGUCGUCGAGCAUGUUCAGAAGUAUGCCCUUUGUGCAAAAGUGUGAAUUUUUUUCAGUAUUUUGUUUA